Non-coding RNA from Ameiurus melas (black bullhead), 74 nucleotides. NCBI's taxonomy places the organism in Eukaryota, Metazoa, Chordata, Actinopteri, Siluriformes, Ictaluridae. The record is from the annotation of a GenBank genome assembly.
GGCAUAGUGGUUUAUAGGGUUAGCACAUUUGCCCCACACCUCCAAGGUUGGGGGUUCGAUUCCCACCGGGGCCA